GCCCUUGGAGACUAUGUACACUUACAGAAGGAUCGCGGUAUCAACAAAUGUUAGGCAUCGGCAUCGCUAGCUUCAACACCAAUAUCUCUAUGGCAUUUAUCAGAUCCCUUGCUUGCUACAGAGGCAGCAUUCACAGUUCCUCCAGAGUCGAUGCCCUUAACAACAGUACCAUCAACAAUAUCUGACUGGCUGGUAUCACUUUUUCCAGUUGCAGCACUUUUCUGAAGGCGUUCAACUAGAUGAAACCAAAUUAUGUCUCAACGAUUUUUCCUCAUGAGAACCAGCUUCUUGAAUUGUAGCCUCUAUAGGUGGUGGUUUGUCACUGUGACUCAAACGUUGAUGAGGAAUUUAGCUGUGAUUCUAACUCUAUCAUGUUGUCAACUGCACUUGGAUCACGACCACAAUCAGGAUUAUGUAUCUCCUCAUCAUUCACCCCAUUUAAUGAGAAAGCAUUAUUAAUAGAGCAAUGGUUCUCAGCCUUGCUUCCAUUUUCACUUUCUAGCUCUGUCGCUUCAUGCUCCAUGGUACCUGAAGUUGGAAUCAUGCCAAUCAUCUGUGGCUCAACAGCCUUGGAUAAUGAUGGGGAGGCCUUGUUAUAUACCAUAACAGCAUCUGAUGUAUUAGUGAUUACUGAUAGCUCAGAACCAUUGCUGCAAACAUUAUUUUGAUUAGUGACACUUUGCCCCAUAAACUCCGCCAGAGAUGGAGGAAUAUCCAUGGAUGGUGGUUCCAUAUGCACUAUGCUAUCAUGUUCAAGCCCAACUUGAUCAGUCAACACUUCAUCUUUAGGAGGGCUCUUGCUUAUGCUGGGACCUGUAUCAUUUACAGUCUUGCCUCUAUUUUCCAUGAAUACAUCAUCAGUCACAACGUCCUCAAAUAAGCAUAACCUGGGUGAAGGAAUACAAUUAGAUGAUGGGUCAACAUCCAUCUCAGUGCAAGUAGUUUCUUCUCCAAUACUCUCACAAAAAUCACCUGUAACACCACCACGACCCUUGUCUCCAUCCCCACAAUCAUCUCUAUUAUGGGAUGAUACAUCUUCAUUAAUUAAAUGACACUCAUUCACCAAUUCUCUAUCAUGAUU
Molecule: unclassified non-coding RNA, 1081 nt
Filed under: Hevea brasiliensis (rubber tree)
Lineage: Eukaryota; Viridiplantae; Streptophyta; Magnoliopsida; Malpighiales; Euphorbiaceae
Source: RNAcentral